This 440-nucleotide ribosomal RNA is filed under the name uncultured bacterium. RNAcentral describes it as "partial 16S ribosomal RNA". It matches the Rfam family "Bacterial small subunit ribosomal RNA", at positions 338 to 795 of the family's 1533-position model. The record is from RNAcentral.
CCUACGGGUGGCAGCAGUGGGGAAUAUUGCACAAUGGGGGGAACCCUGAUGCAGCAACGCCGCGUGGGUGAAGAAGUACUCCGGUAUGUAAAGCUCUGUCAGCAGGGAAGAAACUGACGGUACCUGACCAAGAAGCCCCGGCUAAAUACGUGCCGGCAGCCGCGGCAAUACGUAGGGGGCAAGCGUGAUCCGGAUUUACUGGGUGUAAAGGGAGCGUAGACGGCAAGGCAAGUCUGGAGUGAAAGCCCGUGGCCCAACCACGGGACUGCUUUUGAAACUGUGUUGCUUGAGUGCAGGAGAGGUAAGCGGGAUUCGUAGUGUAGCGGUGAAAUGCGUAGAUAUGAGGAGGAACACCGGUGGCGAAGGCGGCUUACUGGACUGUAACUGACGUUGAGGCUCGAAGGCGUGGGGAGCAAACAGGAUUAGAUACCCGGGUAGUC